RNAcentral lists this unclassified non-coding RNA (353 nucleotides) under soil metagenome. Its description in RNAcentral is "partial contains 5.8S ribosomal RNA, internal transcribed spacer 2, and large subunit ribosomal RNA". The stretch from base 1 to 120 matches the Rfam family "5.8S ribosomal RNA", at positions 35 to 154 of the family's 154-position model. The record is from RNAcentral.
GAUGAAGAACGCAGCGAAACGCGAUAUGUAAUGUGAAUUGCAGAAUUCAGUGAAUCAUCGAAUCUUUGAACGCACAUGGCGCCUUCCAGUAUCCUGGGAGGCAUGCCUGUCCGAGCGUCGUUUCAACCCUGAGCCCCCGUGGCCCGGCGUUGGGGAUCUGCCCAGGCAGUCCCCGAAAACCAGUGGCGGACCCGUUACAGGCCCUUCCCUUGCGUAGUAGCAUUCGCCUCGCAUCGGGAGCCGGCGGGCUUCCAGCCUCUAAACCCCCAUCAAGUCCGCCCCGGCGGCACCAAGGUUGACCUCGGAUCAGGUAGGAAUACCCGCUGAACUUAAGCAUAUCAAUAAGCGGAGGA